CCAAAUACGCCCAGAAAACGAACAAAUUAAAAAUGAGUAACGGUUGAACCCCGAAAUUCCUGAGUCAUCUUCUCCCACGAAUAUCACGACGAGCUUCUUCUUCAGUCUUUCAUGGCUUCUUAACCCAAACAAAGCUCCCUUCUCUCACGCCAACCACCACAGCCGGCAUUCGCCAGUUCCUCACUCGAGCUGUUGCUUCGCCGGAAUUGAUCACCACCAAGUAACGACGCCA
This 232-nucleotide long non-coding RNA is filed under the name Nicotiana benthamiana. RNAcentral's name for it is "long non-coding RNA (NBEN_LNC012253)". Lineage: Eukaryota; Viridiplantae; Streptophyta; Magnoliopsida; Solanales; Solanaceae. The record is from RNAcentral.